Non-coding RNA from rumen bacterium, 48 nucleotides. The record is from Rfam.
UGGCCUGGUCGAAAGACCCGGGGCCACCCAAAAGCGGGUAAGACACCC